RNAcentral lists this ribosomal RNA (1055 nucleotides) under uncultured organism. RNAcentral describes it as "bacterial SSU rRNA". It matches the Rfam family "Bacterial small subunit ribosomal RNA", at positions 382 to 1445 of the family's 1533-position model. The record is from RNAcentral.
UCUGAACCAGCCAUGCCGCGUGCAGGAUGACUGUCCUAUGGAUUGUAAACUGCUUUUCUGCAAGAAGAAAGUUCGCUACGUGUAGUGAUUUGACGGUAUUGCAGGAAUAAGCAUCGGCUAACUCCGUGCCAGCAGCCGCGGUAAUACGGAGGAUGCAAGCGUUAUCCGGAUUUAUUGGGUUUAAAGGGUGUGUAGGCGGUAAGGUAAGUCAAAGGUGAAAGUCUGCAGCUUAACUGUAGAAGUGCCCUUGAUACUGUCUUACUUGAGUUUAGUUGAGGUUGGCGGAAUGUGUAAUGUAGCGGUGAAAUGCAUAGAUAUUACACAGAACACCGAUUGCGAAGGCAGCUGACCAAGCUAACACUGACGCUGAGGCACGAAAGCGUGGGGAGCGAACAGGAUUAGAUACCCUGGUAGUCCACGCUGUAAACUUUGAUCACUCGUUGUAGGCGAUACACAGUCUGUGACUGAGCGAAAGCAUUAAGUGAUCCACCUGGGGAGUACGAUCGCAAGGUUGAAACUCAAAGGAAUUGACGGGGGCCCGCACAAGCGGAGGAACAUGUGGUUUAAUUCGAUGAUACGCGAGGAACCUUACCUGGGCUUAAAUGUAGAUUGCAUUUCUGAGAAAUCAGAAUUUCCUUCGGGACCAUUUACAAGGUGCUGCAUGGUUGUCGUCAGCUCGUGCCGUGAGGUAUCGGGUUAAGUCCCAUAACGAGCGCAACCCCUAUUGUUAGUUGCCAUCAGUUCGGCUGGGGACUCUAACAAAACUGCCCGUGUAAGCGGGAGGAAGGUGGGGAUGACGUCAAAUCAGCACGGCCCUUACGUCCAGGGCUACACACGUGUUACAAUGGCAGGUACAAAGGGCAGCUACACAGUAAUGUGAUGCUAAUCUCAAAAGCCUGUCUUAGUUCGGAUUGGAGUCUGCAAUUCGACUUCAUGAAGCAGGAUUCGCUAGUAAUCGCACAUCAGCCAUGGUGCGGUGAAUACGUUCCCGGGCCUUGUACACACUGCCCGUCAAGCCAUGGAAGUCGGUAGUAUCUGAAGACUGUAACCGCGAG